GACGAACGCUGGCGGCGUGCUUAACACAUGCAAGUCGAACGGAAAGGCCCUGCUUUUGUGCGGUGCUCGAGUGGCGAACGGGUGAGUAACACGUGAGUAACCUGUCCUUGACUUUGGGAGAACUUCACGAAACUGGGGCUCAUAUCGGAUAUGAUCUCCUGCUGCAUGGUGGGCGAUGGAAAGUUUCGGUGGUUGGGGAUGUACUCGCGGCUUAUCAGCUUGAUGGGGGGGUAGUGGCUUACCACGCUUUUGACGGGUAGCCGGCCUGCGAGGGGGACCGGGGCCAAGAGGACUGCGAUAGGGCGCAGAAUCGAACGGGAGGCAGCGGGGGAGAGCAUUACACAAUAGGCGGGAGCGAGAUGUGACAACGCCGGGUGCGGGAAGACGGGCUACGGGUUGAAAACCACUGUCGCCUGAGCCGAGGCGUGAGUGACGGUACCGGGUAAAGAAGCACCGGCUAACUACGUG
RNAcentral lists this ribosomal RNA (468 nucleotides) under uncultured bacterium. RNAcentral's name for it is "partial 16S ribosomal RNA". It matches the Rfam family "Bacterial small subunit ribosomal RNA", at positions 28 to 507 of the family's 1533-position model. The record is from RNAcentral.